AACAAAGUAAGUCACCAAAACUUCACACACACGUCUAAGCUAAAUAUCUUGGUAAACAAAUAAAGAUAUCAUCCUAGAAAAGGAAUCGUUUAUCAAAAAUCAACAAGAUGAUAAAAGAUUAAAGAAAGGGAUGCUUAUAAGUCAUGGGAUAAUAACAAAAUCCUCUUCCAAGCAUCAAAUACAACUUCUAAACUUCAAGAGGUACCAACAAACCCACAAACUCAAAGUUCA
RNAcentral lists this long non-coding RNA (231 nucleotides) under Lathyrus oleraceus (garden pea). RNAcentral's name for it is "Pisum sativum (pea) long non-coding RNA (PSAT_LNC013614)". The record is from RNAcentral. Lineage: Eukaryota; Viridiplantae; Streptophyta; Magnoliopsida; Fabales; Fabaceae.